RNAcentral lists this ribosomal RNA (484 nucleotides) under uncultured bacterium. RNAcentral's name for it is "partial 16S ribosomal RNA". It matches the Rfam family "Bacterial small subunit ribosomal RNA", at positions 28 to 507 of the family's 1533-position model. The record is from RNAcentral.
AAUGAACGCUGGCGGCAGGCCUAACACAUGCAAGUCGAGCGGGUGAAGGGAGCUUGCUCCUGGAUUCAGCGGCGGACGGGUGAGUAAUGCCUAGGAAUCUGCCUGGUAGUGGGGGAUAACGUCCGGAAACGGGCGCUAAUACCGCAUACGUCCUGAGGGAGAAAGUGGGGGAUCUUCGGACCUCACGCGAGCAGAGGAGGAUAGGUCGGAUUAGCUAGGUGGUGGGGUAAAGGCCUACCAAGGCGACGAUCCGUAACUGGUCUGAGAGGAUGAUCAGUCACACUGGAACUGAGACACGGUCCAGACUCCUGCGGGAGGCAGCCGUGGGGACUCUUGGGCGCUGGGCGCGUGCCUGCUCCUGCCCUGCCGCGGGAGUGACGAAGGUCUUCGGAUUGUAAAGCACUUUAAGUUGGGAGGCCGGGCAGUCCGUUACUCCCUUGCUGUUUUGCCGUUCCCCCCCGCCUCCGCUCCGGCUCCCUCCGUG